This 637-nucleotide ribosomal RNA is filed under the name Pyrgulopsis intermedia. RNAcentral describes it as "partial 18S ribosomal RNA". The stretch from base 1 to 133 matches the Rfam family "Eukaryotic small subunit ribosomal RNA", at positions 1704 to 1831 of the family's 1831-position model. The record is from RNAcentral. Lineage: Eukaryota; Metazoa; Mollusca; Gastropoda; Littorinimorpha; Hydrobiidae.
AGGUUAUCGGAUCGGUUGGGUGAUGGCCUUCACGGGUUAUUGCCACAGCUGAGAAGACACCCGAACUUGAUCGUUUAGAGGAAGUAAAAGUCGUAACAAGGUUUCCGUAGGUGAACCUGCGGAAGGAUCAUUACUGAUUGCGAUCGAUAGUGUGGAAACGGAGAAACCAAUUAACGCGUGAUGCGAAUAGGUAAAACGGGAGCUUGGCUUCAACAACAAAAUCGGUGCACCACCUUUACAUGUUGUGCUACCGGGCUCUCGCCGGUAAUCGGCUCCAGUCGUUUUACCGACCGGUCCGCUGGUGUCGGUAUAAUGUGACCAGCCGUGGUUGUUUGUCUUUUUAACCUCUGGACUAUUUUUGUCCACGGAUCGAGGCCAGACCGUCCCGCAGCGCUGGGUGAGUCUCGGUUGCCCGCCCUUGGCCGCUUCAAGGGGAGGAGACGUUCGGGGUACGUAGCCCUUUGGAAAGGGAGACUUUUCCUUUGGGGGGACCGCAACGGUCGGCGCACGUUUGAAGACUGCAGCUCUGGCAGCGCCCCGACAGCCACGUUCGUUUUUUCAACUUUCAAAAAAAAUUCUUUUAUCAACCAAAACUAACUCUGACGACAAUUGCCUUUGUCGUCGGGAGUUUUUCCAC